Hypanus sabinus (Atlantic stingray) is the source of this 3206-nucleotide long non-coding RNA. RefSeq lists it as uncharacterized. The record is from RefSeq and is a predicted model, not a curated record. Lineage: Eukaryota; Metazoa; Chordata; Chondrichthyes; Myliobatiformes; Dasyatidae. The transcript has 4 exons.
AUCAAUUGAAAUGAUUUGACCUUAUUUACUUAACAUCCUUCACAUACGUGAGUAAAAAUGUUUACGUUAUGUCUCCAUCUAAAUGUGUAAUUUAUAGUAAUUUGUAAUAAAUAGUAUGUACAACAGGACAGUCAAUAUAACAGAAAUACAGUUGUAUCAGCGUGAAUUAAUCGGUCUGAUGGCCUGGUGGAAGAAGCUGCCCCGGAGCCUGUAGGACCUGGAUUUUAUGCUGCGAUAGUGCCGGAUGGUAGCAGCUGAACGCUUUGUGGUUGGGGUGACUUGGGUCCCCAAUGAUCUUUCAGGCCCUUUUUACACACCUGUCUCUGUAAUUGUCCUGAAUGAUGGGAAGUUCACAUCCACAGAUGUGCUGGGCUGUCCGCACCACUCUCUGUGAAUUGUGGAGGGAGUUAAAUGUUGGUGAGUGUUACUUUGUCCUGGACGAUGAUGAGUUUUUGGAAAGUCACUGGCAGUUACACUCAUCAGGCAAGUGGAGAACGUCCCGUCACAUCCCUCACUUGUGACGUGAAGAAAUAAAGACAGAUUAGUUUUAUUCGUACAUUGAAACACAUAUGAAGGGUCUUUGAUGGCUCUGGUCCUCUACUCUCUGGAAUUCAGAAGAAUGAGGGGUGACCUCAUUGAAACCUAUCGAUUGUCGCAAGGCCUAAUAGAGUGGAUGUUUCCAGUAGUGGGAGAGUCUAGGGCCUGAAGACGCAGCUUCAGUAUAGAGGUGUGUCCUUUUAGAACAGAGAUGAGAAAUUUCUUUAGCCAGAGAGUUGUGAAUCUGUGGAUUCAUUGCCACAGGCAGCUGUGGAGGACAAGUCAUUGGGUAUAGUUAAGGCAGAGGCUGACAGAUUCUUGAUUAGUCAGGGCAUGAAGGGAUACGAGGAGAAGGCAGGUGACUGGGGCUGAGAGGGAAAAUAGAUCAGCCAUGAUGAAAAGCAGACUUGAUGGGCCAAAUGGCCUUAUGGAACUGCGUCAUUGUGUCAAAUCAAAUUUGUGAGGAUUGUGCUGUGCAGCUUGCAAGUGCCGCCAUGUUUCCAACACCACCGUAGCCAUGUGUGUGGAAUGUGGGAAGUAACUGGAAGAAACUCCCAGGGUCACGGGGAACACAUGCAAACUCUUUACAGACAGCCAUGGGAAUUGAAUGCAGUUCACUGACACUGUAAAGCAUCACGCUAACCGCUCCUGUAAUUGGAAGUUCUUGUAAUGAAGAUGAAUACAUUAUUUGCCCACUUGAAUGCCAGUCUCCCCAAGCACUUUGGCUUCUGGUGCCAGGUGAACGAAAUCCCUUCUGUAAAUCACCCUCACUGUUUAAAUCAUAUGUAGGCACAAGAGAUUCUGCAGACACUGGAAAUCCAGUGUUUCACAUGAAACGCUGGAGGAACUCAGCAGGUUAGGCAGCAUUUAUGGAAAGGAAUAAUGAAUGGACAUUUCGGACCGUUCAUAAAUUAUACGUAGCCUUUCCAUUCUUCCAAACUAGGCCACUUCUUACACGUGGUGAAAAUGUAGGAGGUGAUUUCUGAUCUCUGAUCUCCUCCAACCAGAAUAUUUAUGUGACUGAUCCUGGUGAUGAGGACAAUGAUGUCCAUGAUGGUGAAUAGGAAGAGCUUCUACUCCUCCAUCAGAUGUCUGAACAGAUAAUAAACCAAGCCAGGAACAUCAUCUCAUUAUUUUUAAUCUCCUUUUGCACUGAUUUAACUUCUUGUUGUAAUUUAUAAUCUUUCUUGUGUAUAGCUCUAAACUGCUGCCAGAAAACAACAAAUUUCACAGCGUACUGUAUGCCAGCGAUGAUAUACACCGAAAGGUGCUGGGGAAGUGUCAAUAACAUCAUGAAAGAUCCCACCCACCCUGCUCAUAGUCUGUUUGUCCCACUCCCAUCAGGGAGGAGGCUACGUAGCAUUCACACCAGGACCAACAGACUCAAAAACAGGCACUUCCCCCAAGCAGUAAAAUUGAUCAACACCUCCACCCGCCAACCCACCUCUCCACCACUACUAUAUCAUUCCGUCAGUGUCACCUUAUGUACAGACACUCCUGUGCCUACUGUCACUUUAUGGACAUGCAAUCAAUCUAUAUAUAGAAGCUAAAUUAUUGUGUUUUUAUUUAUAUUGUGUUCUUUGUGCUGCAUCGGUUCUGCAGUAACAGUUAUUCACCUUUACACUUGUGUACUGGAAAUGACAUUAAACAAUCUUGAAUCCAGAAUCUAGAUAAUUAAACCUAAUUCUGACUGUGCUAAUGGGGAACUCAUUGAUGGUAAUCCCAUUGAAUGUUGAGUGCAAUAGUUAAACUCUCUGAUCAGCAAGGCAGUUGUCUUGUGCAAAGCUUUAGUGCCCUGUAAUUGUCAAUUUGAUUUCCCCUAGGGACUGACUGAGGCUGGAAGUUUUCACAAAUAACUGAGGGAUCACUGAGUAGUCUUGCUGUUCUUUAUAGAUAAUGUUCCAGCACAAUGAAGGGGUGAGGGGGUAAGAAAUAAGAAGCCAGGAGGUGAUAGGUGCAAGUGGCAAAAGGUUAAAGAAGAAUUCUGAAUGGAGAGGAUGAAGGGAGGGAGCAGGGGCCCUCUUCCCCACCCAGCCACCAACCCUCACCUGGUCUUACCUGUCACCUGUCAGCUUGUACUUCCAUUCCCCCCCUACCUCCACCACCUUAUUCUGCUUUCUUGCCCCUUCUUUUCCAGAGCUUUGGCCCAAAAUACUGACUGUUCCACUCCGUGGAUAGUGCCUGACCUGCAGUGUUCCUCCGGCAUUUUAUGUGUGUUACUCUGGAUUUCUAGCAACCUACGUUAAUAAAACUUCCUUCUGGCAUCUCCCCGAAACUUUCCUGCACUCACCUUCAAUUGACGGCCACUGGUGCCCUAGGAAAGAGGUUGUCCGCUGUGUGCCAAAGAGAUUUGGGGGCUCAUCCAGGAUCUUUAGUUUAUUUUGUCAUGUGCUGCCCGACCUGCUGUGUGAAACUUAGACUCUGUGGGAUUCCACCCACAUUCCAAAGUCGUGCAGCUAGGCGUGAGUGAGAAGAACUCGUUUCAGGUUCUAGCCUAUGUGUUUGGAAGUUAAGCACAUGUGUGCCAAAGCCUCUUUGCUGUGGACUAGACUGGAGUUUUUAUUUCAUGUGUUUAGAAGCCAGAGUGUUUGUCGUUGAGGAAAUGCAGCCGACCAGUGAAGUUGGCGCUCCGAAUAAAUACUUUGGUUUUGCGAAACGACACGUUCACU